UUUUCAUUUGCCUUACGAAAAUUAAGCACCCAUCCUUGGACCUCUCUUAGUCCUUAGUAGAGAGGACUUUAUCUGACUGUCUGAUGUGGAAACGCACACCUAUCCCAAACAUAGGAUUACUGGGGUAUCUAUCUAAAUGCUGCUCUCUCUAACAUACUGAGGUACAUUACAAAUAAAAUGGAUGUUGGUCUAGGUUUCAGGCUGGAGUUUAGGUGGAUAGGGAUGAAUCUCUGUCCUGGGACUGCUGUCAGUAAUAUGGUGCUGCCAGUGCUGUGGAGGCUUGGAAGUAACUGUGCCAGUAAAGCCCUCACCCCAGAGAUGCCUCAGAAGCCCAGUGCUUGCUUGCUCUUUGCAGAUUAUGGUAUGCUCUCGGCAGCUUUGAAAGUAAGGCUUUAUGAGCGCUGUGCCGCUGGGCUCUCCAAGGAGAAGCAGCAUCAUCCCUGAGCCUCCUUCCAUCAGGAUUUGCCAGCCGUGAGGGAGAAGAACACCUCGUACCCAGUGGAGGAGUGAUGCAGCCAUUGCUCUGCCCCCGGCAGUAGCCUCCCGUUUGCAGAGCCCCUGCACCUUCAGCUUGUGCCUCUUCCCUGGCAAGUUUGCAUGUGGCUGGCUCCUGCGCAGGACACGACACAAGCUGAGUCCUGGGGAGCCCCUGCUCCAACCUCCUUGUUCCACCUGGCCCCACGCCUGGGCCAUCAAGCAUCCUCAAGUGAGAAGGACGAGCCUGGUUACUCUGGUUUUCCACACUGGGUGGAAAACCCAUGCCAAAGCUGCUCUAGGCAGAAAUAGAUGCUGACAUCCCAGAAGGGACAGAUUACUUUGAGUAAUUUAUUACAACUUUGUAGUGUCAGGCACUCUCCACGCUCCCAUUCCCUCUCCUUUAUCAAAGCACCUGGCAAGGAGGACUGUAACACAGAUCUCCCUGUUGUAAUGGGACUGUAGAAGGAUGAUUUCCCUCCUGCAAGAGCCUGCACCAAAGCCUCCACCUAGGGCAGGUGGCCUGUUGAGCCGUUUGUGCUGCCCCAUGAUCUGAGCACUGGAGCUGAAAUUGCUGAGGAUCCAGUGGUUCACCUGGUGCCAUGCUGUAAAGCCACAUUUGAUUACAUUUGGUGUUGCAGCUAAUGAAGGUGUUUCAUGUUUUUGAAAGCUUUCAGAAAGUGUUCAGUGAUUUAUGUAUGUGCUAGACUGAUCAUUGAUAGCAGGAGAAAUUCUGACUGGACGUACUCACUAUCCCCACUUCUCGCCCUCUACUGAAAUCCUUGUUAACAAAGACUUGUUUCCUUUUAAAUCAUUCUUCUUGCACAUCUAAUAGGGCUGACACGCUUCUUUUCAAAGUGAAAUACCACUGUACAUUCAUUUAGGGCUCACAUUCACUCCCUCUAGAUUAUAGCCAAACUUGUAUUGUGCUGCUGUGAAUGAUGAGUCAGGUCUCCCCAACAGAAAAACA
Molecule: long non-coding RNA, 1444 nt
Filed under: Calidris pygmaea (Spoon-billed sandpiper)
Lineage: Eukaryota; Metazoa; Chordata; Aves; Charadriiformes; Scolopacidae
Description: lncRNA (ENSCPGG00000008828.1)
Source: RNAcentral